This 75-nucleotide antisense RNA is filed under the name Micromonospora sp. HK10. Its description in RNAcentral is "ASpks sRNA". It matches the Rfam family "ASpks TB sRNA". The record is from RNAcentral. Lineage: Bacteria; Bacillati; Actinomycetota; Actinomycetes; Micromonosporales; Micromonosporaceae.
CUUGAUGGAGCCGAGCCAGAGCGGCUGGUCGUCGGUGCGGUGCUGGCCGUAGGUCGCGAGCAGGGCCUGGGCCUC